RNAcentral lists this ribosomal RNA (587 nucleotides) under uncultured bacterium. RNAcentral's name for it is "partial 16S ribosomal RNA". It matches the Rfam family "Bacterial small subunit ribosomal RNA", at positions 355 to 1375 of the family's 1533-position model. The record is from RNAcentral.
UGGGGAAUAUUGCACAAUGGGCGCAAGCCUGAUGCAGCCAUGCCGCGUGUGUGAAGAAGGCCUUCGGGUUGUAAAGCACUUUCAGCGAGGAGGAAGGUGGUGAACUUAAUACGUUCAUCAAUUGACGUUACUCGCAGAAGAAGCACCGGCUAACUCCGUGCCAGCAGCCGCGGUAAUACGGAGGGUGCAAGCGUUAAUCGGAAUUACUGGGCGUAAAGCGCACGCAGGCGGUUUGUUAAGUCAGAUGUGAAAUCCCCGGGCUCAACCUGGGAACUGCAUUUGAAACUGGCAAGCUAGAGUCUCGUAGAGGGGGGUAGAAUUCCAGGUGUAGCGGUGAAAUGCGUAGAGAUCUGGAGGAAUACCGGUGGCGAAGGCGGCCCCCUGGACGAAGACUGACGCUCAGGUGCGAAAAGCGUGGGGAGCAAACAGGGUUAGAUACCCUGGUAGUCCACGCUGUAAACGAUGUCGAUUUGGAGGUUGUGCCCUUGAGGCGUGGCUUCCGGAGCUAACGCGUUAAAUCGACCGCCUGGGGAGUACGGCCGCAAGGUUAAAACUCAAAGGAAUUGACGGGGUCAUAGCUGUUUCCU